AACUCACGCUAAUACUGCAUACGCCCUACGGGGGAAAGCGGGGGCUCUUCGGACCUCGCGCUAUCAGAUGAGCCGCGUAGAUAGCUAGUUGGUAGGGUAAAGGCCUACCAAGGCGACGAUCUAUAGCUGGUCUGAGAGGACGAUCAGCCACACUGGGACUGAGACACGGCCCAGACUCCUACGGGAGGCAGCAGUGGGGAAUAUUGGACAAUGGGCGCAAGCCUGAUCCAGCAAUACCGCGUGUGUGAAGAAGGCCUUAGGGUUGUAAAGCACUUUCAAUGGGGAGGAAAACCUGCCGGUCAAUACCCGGUAGCUUGACAUUACCUUUAGAAGAAGCACCGGCUAACUCCGUGCCAGCAGCCGCGGUAAUACGGAGGGUGCGAGCGUUAAUCGGAAUUACUGGGCGUAAAGCGUGCGUAGGCGGUUCGUUAAGUCAGAUGUGAAAGCCCCGGGCUUAACCUGGGAACUGCAUUUGAAACUGGCGGACUAGAGUUGAGUAGAGGGGAGUGGAAUUUCAGGUGUAGCGGUGAAAUGCGUAGAUAUCUGAAGGAACACCAGUGGCGAAGGCGACUCCCUGGACUCAAACUGACACUGAGGUACGAAAGCGUGGGUAGCAAACAGGAUUAGAUACCCUGGUAGUCC
This 642-nucleotide ribosomal RNA is filed under the name uncultured bacterium. RNAcentral's name for it is "bacterial SSU rRNA". It matches the Rfam family "Bacterial small subunit ribosomal RNA", at positions 155 to 796 of the family's 1533-position model. The record is from RNAcentral.